RNAcentral lists this unclassified non-coding RNA (3636 nucleotides) under Hevea brasiliensis (rubber tree). Lineage: Eukaryota; Viridiplantae; Streptophyta; Magnoliopsida; Malpighiales; Euphorbiaceae. The record is from RNAcentral.
CUCCUCUGUUCACAAGUGGUUGACCUCCUUAUUUUAUGCUCUCUCUCUCUCUCUGCUUGCGCUCCCCAGCCUUACUAAGCAGCCAUCCGUCUCUCCUUGCUCUCCGUUGAGGAAAUGAUUUGGAAUCCAGUGAUUUCCCUCGCAUCCAAACUUGCCGAGUAUCUUUUUUCGCCCGUCGGGCGUCAGAUCGGUUAUGUGUUCAACCACAAAAGCAACAUACAGGAGCUGAAAGUUCAAUCUGAUAAGCUGCAAGGUGAAAGACAGAGUGUGCAGCACCGCGUGGAUGAGGCUAAAAGACAUGGGGAAGAAAUUGAAGACAUGGUAGACAAGUGGCUGAAAAGCGUGGAUGAUGCUACUUUAGAGGUGGACAAAAUUCUACAAGAUAAUGACACGGCAAAGAUGAAGUGCUUCAUGGGAUUGUGUCCCAAUUUGAAGAUGCGUUACCGGCUUAGUAAGAAAGCUAAGAAGAAGAAGGAGGUGGUUGUUCGAAUCCAAGCAGAAGGGAAAUUUGAUAGAGUUUCCUACCAUACCUCUCCACCUUGGACGGCGCCUGCCAAAGAUUACGAGGUUUUUGAAUCAAGAACGGUACUUUUAAAGGAAAUUGUGGAGGCGUUGAAGGAUGAUGAAGUUAAUAUGAUUGGGGUGUAUGGGAUGGGAGGCGUUGGUAAGACCACCCUAGUGAAAGAGGUUGCUUCUCAAGUCAAGGAACAGGGCAUAUUCAGAAGGGUGGUUACAGCAACAGUAACCCUCAAUGCUGAUAUAAAAAGAAUUCAACAAGAAAUUGCAGAGUGGUUAGGUUGCAAUUUGGUUGAGCAGACUGUUAGUGUACGAGCUGCUCGGUUGAGUGAGCGUCUCAAACGAGAGGAGAAAAUUCUCAUAAUUCUGGAUGAUAUUUGGGUGAGAAUCAAAUUGGGGGAAAUAGGAAUUCCAAUUGGAAAUGAUCAUGAUAAAGGUUGCAAGAUAUUGAUGACCUCCAGAAAUCAAAAUGUAUUUUUGGAGAUGGAUGUUUUGAGAGUUUUCCGGCUUGAAGUUUUACAAGAUAAAGAAGCAUGGUAUUUGUUUCAGAAGAAGGUGGGCGAUGUGCAACAUCCUAAUUUGGCAAUUGAAGUAGCAAAGAGGUGUGCUGGUUUACCUAUUUUGAUUGUGACUGUUGCAAUGGCAUUGAAAAAUAAGCAGUUGUUUGAAUGGAAGAAUGCCUUGGAACAACUAAAAAGGUUUGAUGAUAGCGAAAUGGAUGAGCAAGUUACUUCUACUCUAAAGUUGAGUUACAACUUUUUGCAAGGUGAGGAAAUCAAGUCAUUAUUCUUACUUUGUGGACAGCAUGUAUCAUAUAGCUAUGAAGUCGAUAACUUGCUGAAAUAUGCUGUGGGCUUGGGUUUAUUCAAACGAAGCAAAACAUUAGAGGAAGCAAGAAAUAGACUUCAUAAAUAUGUUAGUGACCUCAAAGCUUCUUGUUUGUUGCUAGAAGGCAUCCACAGGGGAGAAGUCAAGAUGCAUGAUGUUGUUCGCAAUUUUGCUAUCUCAGUUGCAUCCACAGAUCAUCAUGUCUUCAAUGUAGCAUAUGACACUGUAUUGGAAUGGCCGUCAAAGGAUGAGCUUGAACAAUGCACUGCAAUAAAUUUGUUUGCAUGUGAGAUUCCUGAGCUUCCUGCAGCAUUUAAAUGCCCAAAACUGGAGUCAUUUGCACUGGAUAAUUUUCUACUGGAUGGCAAGAAUGCCUUUCUGAAAAUCCCGGAUGACUUUUUUAGUACUGUGAAAGAACUCAAAGUCUUGGAUUUGACAGGAUUGCAUUUAUCAUCUCUGCCUUCUUCACUUCAAUUUCUUCAGAACCUUCAAACAUUAUGUCUAGAUCAUUGUGUUUUGGAAGACAUAGCUGCAAUCGGAGAGCUUAACAACUUACAAGUUCUCAGCCUUUUCGGUGCUAACAUUGUUCAGCUGCCAGGAGAAAUAGGGAAAUUGACUCGUCUAAGGCUUUUAGAUUUAGGCAAUUGUCCUAGCCUUGAAGUGAUUCCGCCAGAUGUCCUGUCAUGCUUGACCCGAUUAGAGGACCUAUAUAUUGGACGCAGUUUUGUGCGAUGGAAGGGUGAAGAAAAUGAUGCUCAAAGAGAAAAUGCUAACCUGGCUGAAUUGAAGCUUUUAACAAACCUAGUCACUUUGGAAAUACAUGUCAUUGAUGAAAAGAUCCUUCCCAGGGAUUUGUUCUUUGAAAAGCUGGAAAGAUUUAAAAUAGUUGUAGGUGACAUAUGGGAUUGGUCAUGUAGAGAUGAAACUUCAAGAAUGCUGAAACUCAAGCUCAACACAAGCUUUCUGUUGGAGAGCAUGAAACUCCUCCUGAUGAAAACUGAAGAUUUAUAUUUGGAUGACUUGAAAGGUGUAAAAAGUGUCCUCUGUGAAUUAAACGGGCUAGGUUUUCCUGAGUUGAAACAUCUGCGUAUCCAAAAUAGUCUUGAAGUUCAAUAUAUCAUCGACUCAAUUAGGCUAGGGCCUCAAGUUUUUUUCCCCGUAUUGGAAACAUUGCUCCUUGACCAUCUAAUUAACUUGGAGAAGAUAUGUUAUGGUGCUCUUGAGGCCACCUCUUUUAGCAGCUUAAGAAAGUUAAAUGUGAAACACUGUGAUAGCUUGAAGCAUCUCUUUUCAUUCUCUAUGGCUAGUUGCCUUGCACAACUAGAAGAAUUCAACGUAAGCAAUUGCAAAUUUAUGGAAGGGAUUGUGGUGAAGGAAAUUGGCGAAGAUUCAGGCAACGAUGUAGUCAUUGAGUUGACUCAAUUACACACAUUGACGCUAGAAUAUCUACCUAAAUUCACAAGUUUUAUCUCCCAAGUCCAGGUUCCUUUUACUAAUACAGGAUCUGAAGAAAUUGUAUCUGCAGAUCAUGAACCCGAAACUCUCGUUCCAAUUUUCAAUAGAAAGAUUAGAUUCCCCAAUUUGGCAAAGCUGAAACUCUCUUCAGUAAGUUUGGAGAAGAUAUGGAGCAACCAACUUACACAACUAUCUCCGCGUUUAACAAUCUUGAAGGUUGAUGGAUGUGAGAAUUUAAACUAUGUAUUUCCAUCUCCUGUGGUUGAAAGUCUUGCACAACUCACAAGGCUAGAAAUAUGCAAUUGUGAGUCAGUGGAAGAAAUAAUAGCUACACAAAGAUUAGGAGAAACAAUGAUCAAGAUUUCAUUUCCAAAACUGGACCUGCUAAAGCUCAGUGAUCUUCCAAAACUAACAAGUUUUUUCAGUGGUAACUUGAUUGAAUUCUCUUCUUUGAAAGUUCUGGUGAUAGACAAUUGUACACAAUUGAGGACAUUUGUUUCCAGUUCUGAAAGUACAGAUGUGGCAUCUAGCAGUGAAUCUGGACAAGCAAACUCACUUCUUUUUGAUGAGAAGGUUGCAUUUCCUAGCUUGGAGGAGUUGCAUAUUAUGUCCUUGCCUAAGUUGAAAAUGAUACGGGAUGAUCAUAUCCAAACAAAUUCAUUCAGCAAGUUAAAAUUACUGAAGGUGGAAGAUUGCGAGGAGUUACUGAAAAUUUUUCCAUCAAAUAUACAUGAGGAUUCUCCAAAAACUCUCUUGUUUUCAAACCUAUGUUGAGUGGAUGUUAGGAUAUGUCCUAGUCUGAAUAGUCUCUUCCCACCUUCAAUUGCAAGAAAUCUU